Papaver somniferum (opium poppy) is the source of this 816-nucleotide long non-coding RNA. RefSeq lists it as uncharacterized. The transcript is spliced from 2 exons. The record is from RefSeq and is a predicted model, not a curated record. Lineage: Eukaryota; Viridiplantae; Streptophyta; Magnoliopsida; Ranunculales; Papaveraceae.
GUUGGAGCCGAUAACUCCGUUACAAGCAAGACUAAAUCGUUUGCGACGUAGGGUGUGAUAUUAGAGAGGAAAAAUAAGAGAUCACGUGGAAUACAUUUCGUGUCCGAAGGAGGAAUACAGUUAUAGGAGUAGUUCCGAGAUCGCCAAGGAUGGAUCCAUAAGAAGCAAGGGUAAAUCGUAGCAUGAAUAGAGAUGCAAUCAUGUGAAGAGAUACCAAAGAUUUGAUUUGGGUACAGGUUGAGUUUGUCUGUGAUUCCUAAAUUAAAUACACAAAACUUAUAUCUCAACGAUGCCACGAUGAAGCGUCAGGCACGCGUGAGUAUCAUGCUUUUAGAUUGCAAGGAUAGUCAAGGGACGAACACUUAUCAGGGAUAGUCAUUUGUCCUUGAAAUAUGUAGUUGAUGCAGAAGGGAAUAUUCAUUUGGGAGCUGAUUAGAGAACAAAUUUACGCAAGAUUUCCAACAAAGUUCAUUUGGGGCAAUAACCUGACACAAUGGAGUAAAAGAAAACAAAAAAAUGGAUGAUAAGAAGAAAAAAAACGAAAUGAAUUUGGUAGACUCAGUUGUUCAGGAACUUGAAUCCUCGGUGUGCUAGAUGCAUCUAGCUUAUCAAAAAAAAAAAAAAAAAACUGUACAAUGCUCAUCAUACUGCAUGCAGUAGAAAGGUAUUUUCGUAUGCUGAACAUUUUCGAAGGACCGCGUAGCCCUCUGCAAGACUUAUAGAGAAGCACGUAUUGUACUUGGAUUAUUCCACUGUGACAGUGACAUCAAAUAUUAAAAAUGCGUCGGUUUGGAUUACAAAUGAUUAACCAUAUAA